UACGGGGGGAGCAAGCGUUGUUCGGAUUUACUGGGCUUAAAGGGCGCGUAGGCGGCUGACCAAGUCAGUGGUGAAAUCCUGCAGCUUAACUGUAGAAGUGCCUUUGAUACUGGUCGGCUCGAGGGAGGUAGGGGUCUGUGGAACUUCUGGUGGAGCGGUGAAAUGCGUUGAUAUCAGAAGGAACGCCGGUGGCGAAAGCGACGGACUGGACCUCUUCUGACGCUGAGGCGCGAAAGCUAGGGGAGCAAACGGG
This 253-nucleotide ribosomal RNA is filed under the name uncultured bacterium. RNAcentral's name for it is "partial 16S ribosomal RNA". It matches the Rfam family "Bacterial small subunit ribosomal RNA", at positions 524 to 776 of the family's 1533-position model. The record is from RNAcentral.